UGUGGAAUCGCAUCAUUGAACCUG
RNAcentral lists this non-coding RNA (24 nucleotides) under Cricetulus griseus (Chinese hamster). The record is from RNAcentral. Lineage: Eukaryota; Metazoa; Chordata; Mammalia; Rodentia; Cricetidae.